UCCAAAUUUUCACAAACCCUAAAUCUGUGCUCUUCAUCUGCUUCUCUUUUCUUUGCAAUCUUAUACUCUAUCCUCCACCGCUUCAUCGCAAUCCUCACAAACUUUGUUUCUUUUUGAUCGAAGUAUGGAAGACAAUGAUGGUGGUGUUUAGGUUGGAGAAACGACGAUGUGAGCAAUGGUCGGAGACGAAGGGGAUUCAUAUCACUCGAUUAUGGUUUUGUAUUGGUACACAUUGGAUACGGGAGCAGCACAAGCGAUGAAGAGAAUUCCACAAAUCAAGUUUGUACAACAUCAUUCUAAGCCUUUUGGUGCUACUUAAUGUAUGGGUACUUAGAGAGCUUAGAUGAAGAAACAAAAAGGAGCUGUAACUUGCAUCUGUUGAAGGAAUUGGAGCCAAAUUAUGUUGAAAAGAUAGUUUAAGGAUUAUUUGAUUAUUGUAUGUAAGGCAUGUAAAAACGGGUCGAGUCAAAUAAAUUUGAUUAUUUUGUUUUUCUGAAUGCAUGCAGGUUCCAGAAACAUUGAAUGAAGAAGUUCUUGGGAAAAUGAUUACGCCACCAAAGUGUGACGUACCGGUAAUUACAAGAAAUGAUCUCUUUGAAGGGAAAUGUUUUCUGGUUGCCAACAAGAUUUGGUAUGAUGUCUGGUAUUCCUUUUAUUUUCUAAUUAAAAUUACAUAAAGAACCAGUGAAUCGAACAUGUUUAAAGUAUAUCACAAGCACGUCUCUGCAUUGUUGUCAACAUUCUACUAUGGUAAAAACCGAUACCGGUGGUCGUUUUAAUAUGCAGCCAUGUAUAUUACAUGCAUGGAGAUGCAUACAAGGAAGGCAGAAUUGAUGCUACAGGUAAGCAUUCAUUAUACUUAUCCUUAAUUAAGAACGACCUCUUUUGAAAUAUAUUGAAGUUUUGAGGAUCAACUACAGUUUUAGCAUUUCGAACAAAUUAAACCAUUGAUUGAAAAUUUAGUUUAACAAAACUAACCAUCAAUUGAGCAAUGGGUCUGAGUAUUUGAACAAAUCAGAUCAUUGAUUGGGCAAAUUUGACCAGAGAUGAUGAAAACAUCUUUUUUCACAGUGUUUAAAAGUUAUUGAGUUAAAUAUUAUCUCAUUUUUUAGUAUUCUUAACAAUGAAGACCCUUGCAUAUGCGAUACGUGUAUAUUGCGCAUUGGAUUUUGGUUAUCAGCGAAUUGAGGUUUUGAUGAAUGUAGAGCACUCGAGCAUAUUAGCAAAUCAAAUUAUUCGUUUGUCCCAAUAACAAAUAUCCUGGAUCAUAUAUCUGGUUUCCUCAAUGCUGGCAUGUCUGGUAUGUUUUUCUAUUGUUCCUGUGUUUGUGGCAUGGCUUUUGUAUUCGAGGUAAUCACACGAAGAUCAUUGAGCUGGAUCAUAGCUUUGUUUUACGUUUAUUAAAAGUUUUGUUUUACAAUUGGAUAAAGGUUUGUUUAAAUGUCAGAAGCCUCCUUCUUUUCAUGAACGAUUAGAGUCAUGGAUCUUUUUGUGGAGAUCUCUCUACGACUAUGGAAUAUAUAGCACGAGAUGAUGUAAUUCCAAGAGCUUAUUCCAUCAGGCCAUCUUAAGAACUUUAAGCACAUUGCUUGCCUAAAUCGGCUUUUCCAGGUGAUUAAAGAACACUGAUACUGAGUCAAAUGUUUAAAAGAAUUUAUAAUACAACAUGAACUGUUAUUCUGCAUGUUGCAAGCAUUCAGAAAGUUUACUCAGGGGACGUUAAAGAUGAUGAGACAGAGUAGAAGAAGAUCGUUGUUUUCCCUAAUGAGCUGGGGAAAGUUUAUGAGCCCUGAAGUUAUGCAUUUGUCACAUUGACACUAACGUCUACGGUAUGAAGGUUUGGGAUUCCGGCGAGACUUCAAUUAAUUCCGACGAGUUCUACGAUCUAUAAUGAUGGCUAUAGCAGGAAAAAUUCUAGAUGGCCAUAGCAAGUAAUCUAUGUAAUGUGUUACUUUUGUAUUUAUAUUAUUUAUACACUUAUUGAUAAUGUAGAUUAACUUUUCUAACCCGCGAAGUUCGCGGGUGAUAACCUAGUAUAUAUAUAUAUAUAUAUAUA
This is a long non-coding RNA of Helianthus annuus (common sunflower), 2056 nucleotides long. RefSeq lists it as uncharacterized. The record is from RefSeq and is a predicted model, not a curated record. The transcript has 5 exons. Lineage: Eukaryota; Viridiplantae; Streptophyta; Magnoliopsida; Asterales; Asteraceae.